CAGGUUUCUCUCUGUUGCUCAGGCUGGAGUGCAGUUCUACAAUCAGGGCUCACUGCAGCCUCUGCCUCCUGGGCUCAAGUGAUCUCCCACCUCAGCCUCCAGAGUAGCUGCUACAGGCAUGUGCCACCCCACAGCAGGCUAAUUAAAAAAAAAAUGUAGAGAUGGUGUCUCCCUGUGUUGCCCAGGCUGAUCUCCAACUCCUGUUCUCAAGCAGUACCUCCCUCUUGGCCUCCAAAGUGCUUGGAUUACAAACGCGAGCCACCACAUUGGACUUCAACAUUGCCUUGUGCAAACAUUUUACUAUCAAAGGCAAGCCCUCUAGCUGGCUCAAUAAACCUCAAUUGAUUGGGACAACUGCCUCGGUCACUCAAUUUGGUUGUCGAAUUGAUACCACUACACCCUUACCAGGAAUCAUUUGACUGGUAAGGGGAGAAACCCUGAAGUGAGCAUGCCUACAACUCCAGUAAACACACUGUGCAUGCAGCCCCUCCCAACAGCGGACAGCCCACCCCAACGGAAGAAUAUGGGGAUAAGGGACAAAACCCCCUGGAA
Molecule: long non-coding RNA, 552 nt
Filed under: Homo sapiens (human)
Lineage: Eukaryota; Metazoa; Chordata; Mammalia; Primates; Hominidae
Description: HSALNT0204997
Source: RNAcentral